UACUCUCACACUCCCGAUCUUGAGUUGGGAGCGGUGGACUUGGGUUUGCUGCUUUACUGUAGCUCACCUCAAAUGUGUUAGUGCAGCUCUUGGUUGGACAUAGUACGGCGUGAUAAGUAUCUUCGCCGGUGCCUCGCAAAGAGGGUGGCCGAUCGGGAUGUUGUGCUCCAAACUGUCUUCGGACAAUCUCUGACA
Molecule: unclassified non-coding RNA, 195 nt
Filed under: uncultured Sebacinaceae
Lineage: Eukaryota; Fungi; Basidiomycota; Agaricomycetes; Sebacinales; Sebacinaceae
Description: sequence contains ITS2
Source: RNAcentral